AGAGUUUGAUCCUGGCUCAGAACGAACGCUGGCGGCAGGCCUAACACAUGCAAGUCGAACGCCCCGCAAGGGGAGUGGCAGACGGGUGAGUAACGCGUGGGAACAUACCCUUCGGUUCGGAAUAGCUCAGGGAAACUUGAAUUAAUACCGGAUACGUCCGCAAGGAGAAAGAUUUAUCGCCGAAGGAUUGGCCCGCGUCUGAUUAGCUAGUUGGUGGGGUAAUGGCUCACCAAGGCGACGAUCAGUAGCUGGUCUGAGAGGAUGAUCAGCCACAUUGGGACUGAGACACGGCCCAAACUCCUACGGGAGGCAGCAGUGGGGAAUAUUGGACAAUGGGCGCAAGCCUGAUCCAGCCAUGCCGCGUGAGUGAUGAAGGCCCUAGGGUUGUAAAGCUCUUUCGUCAGGGACGAUAAUGACGGUACCUGAAGAAGAAGCCCCGGCUAACUUCGUGCCAGCAGCCGCGGUAAUACGAAGGGGGCUAGCGUUGUUCGGAAUCACUGGGCGUAAAGCGCACGUAGGCGGAUUCUUAAGUCAGGGGUGAAAUCCCGGGGCUCAACCUCGGAACUGCCUUUGAUACUGGGAAUCUCGAGUCCGGGAGAGGUGAGUGGAAUUGCGAGUGUAGAGGUGAAAUUCGUAGAUAUUCGCAAGAACACCAGUGGCGAAGGCGGCUCACUGGCCCGGUACUGACGCUGAGGUGCGAAAGCGUGGGGAGCAAACAGGAUUAGAUACCCUAGUAGUCC
Molecule: ribosomal RNA, 740 nt
Filed under: uncultured bacterium
Lineage: Bacteria
Description: bacterial SSU rRNA
Rfam family: Bacterial small subunit ribosomal RNA
Source: RNAcentral